GACGAACGCUGGCGGCGUGCUUAACACAUGCAAGUCGAACGAAGAGCGAUGGAAGCUUGCUUCUAUCAAUCUUAGUGGCGCACGGGUGAGUAACGCGUAAUCAACCUGCCCUUCAGAGGGGGACAACAGUUGGAAACGACUGCUAAUACCGCAUACGAUCUAAUCUCGGCAUCGAGGAUGGAUGAAAGGUGGCCUCUACAUGUAAGCUAUCACUGAAGGAGGGGAUUGCGUCUGAUUAGCUAGCUGGAGGGGUAACGGCCCACCAAGGCGAUGAUCAGUAGCCGGUCUGAGAGGAUGAACGGCCACAUUGGGACUGAGACACGGCCCAGACUCCUACGGGAGGCAGCAGUGGGGAAUCUUCCGCAAGGGACGAAAGUCUGACGGAGCAACGCCGCGGGAGUGAUGACGGCCUUCGGGUUGUAAAGCUCUGUUAAUCGGGACGAAAGGCCUUCUUGCGAAUAGAGAGAAGGAUUGACGGUACCGGAAUAGAAAGCCACGGCUAACUACGUG
RNAcentral lists this ribosomal RNA (510 nucleotides) under uncultured bacterium. RNAcentral describes it as "partial 16S ribosomal RNA". It matches the Rfam family "Bacterial small subunit ribosomal RNA", at positions 28 to 507 of the family's 1533-position model. The record is from RNAcentral.